This 501-nucleotide ribosomal RNA is filed under the name uncultured bacterium. RNAcentral's name for it is "SSU rRNA". It matches the Rfam family "Bacterial small subunit ribosomal RNA", at positions 26 to 514 of the family's 1533-position model. The record is from RNAcentral.
AGGACGAACGCUGGCGGCGUGCCUCAUACAUGCAAGUGGAGCGACGAACCAGGAUUUAUCCUGGGGCAAAGCCGCGAACGGGUGAGUAACACGUGGGUUACCUGCCCCGAUGAUUGGGACAACCCGAGGAAAACUCGGGCUAAUACCAAAUGUGUUCUUGGUCGUGAUGACCAAGAAGAAAGGAAGCCUCGGCCUCCGCAUCGGGAUGGGCCCGCGGCCCAUUAGCUAGUUGGUGGGGUAAUGGCCUACCAAGGCGACGAUGGGUAGCUGGUCUGAGAGGACGAUCAGCCACACUGGGACUGAGACACGGCCCAGACUCCUACGGGAGGCAGCAGUAGGGAAUCUUGGACAAUGGGCGCAAGCCUGAUCCAGCCAUGCCGCGUGAGUGAAGAAGGCCUUCGGGUUGUAAAGCUCUUUCGGCAGGAACGAAAUGGUUCGUGCUAAUACCACGGACUGAUGACGGUACCUGAAGAAGAAGCACGGCUAACUACGUGCCAGCAG